This is a long non-coding RNA of Notolabrus celidotus (New Zealand spotty), 351 nucleotides long. RefSeq lists it as uncharacterized. The record is from RefSeq and is a predicted model, not a curated record. Lineage: Eukaryota; Metazoa; Chordata; Actinopteri; Labriformes; Labridae. The transcript is spliced from 2 exons.
UGUUCGUCUUCCCCGUGUUCUCUGUUUCUUUUCGUGUGAUCCCUAUGCUAUAUUUGGAUUUAUUCUUGGACGUUUUUAGUUCAAGCAGACCUGUUAGCAUCCUGAGCGGCGUCUUCCUGAGCUGAAGGUAAAGAUGAAUGAACAACAAUUUGAGCAUCUGUGGGAGCGAUGACAGCCCGCAGCGAGACAGACAGCCGGUCAGUCACCCGGAGACCUGACCUCCAUCUUUCCCUGUCUCUCAUCAGCUCACUCUCUGCCUCUCUCUCCGUCUAACACAAUCUCUCACUAACAAUCAGCGGCGCCGACUCUUCGGCUGGGUUAUAACUUAAAGUAAACAGCCUCUCAGAUUCA